This 22-nucleotide microRNA is filed under the name Heligmosomoides polygyrus. RNAcentral's name for it is "hpo-miR-10032-3p". The record is from miRBase by way of RNAcentral. Lineage: Eukaryota; Metazoa; Nematoda; Chromadorea; Rhabditida; Heligmosomidae.
UGCUGCUCAUCCACAGUUCUCC